AAGAAGCAGGCCCAGCGGAGGGUGUGAGGGACCCACCUGUGUCUGGGCUGGCCUCUGGGCUGGGGCCAGGGCAAAAGAGGAGGCCAAGUCUGGGGUGCAUGGCCAGAUGGUGACUUUUGGGAAAUGUUAAAAGAAGUGCAAGGUGAGGGAUGGCUGACUUUGUGAGCCAAGUUGUGAGGGCUGUGUUCGCCUUGCUAAGCAGUUUAGGUUUUAUUCUGGAGGCAGGGGGGAGCCAGGACAAGUUCUGAAGCAAAAAAGGGACACUAGUCUAUAUGCAGUGUCUGCAUUUUAGGACAAUCCCUCUGGCUGCCGUGGGGUGAGUCUUUGGAGAGGAGACAGGCAGCAGGAGAUUCUGACCUGUGAAGUGAACAGUUGAGCAUGGCCUGGAGAGGAAAGGAGAGACAUCGAGGAGGUGAGAUCCGCAGGUGGCUUGUGAGAUGUGGAGGGUGAGGCAGUGGGUGGAUUUUAUUCCUAGGACCCUGGCCUGGGGAACUGGAGCAGUAAAGGCUGCCCUUAUCUGUUUCUGGAACACUUCCAGCAGUGAGAUGUAGAGACCUAACAGUGACUUAAACAAUAAAAAUGUUUUUAAUUAUCCCACAUCCUGAUAAGUCUGGAGGUGAGCCAUCUGGGGCUGGUUUAACAUCUCAAGAGUGUCAUUAAAGAUCUAGGAUCUUUCUUUCUUUUUGCGCCCCCAUCCUCAACGUAUUUGCUCGUUAUCUUCACGGUUGCAAGAUGGUUGCUGUAGCUCCCGACAUUUUCACGGCAGGAAAAAGAGGAAAGAGGUGGUCAUAGCCAUGUCUGUUCCCUUAAAUCAAGAAAAACAAAGCUUCCAGAAGAUUCCACCUAUAAGUCGAUGUCCAUCCUUAGCUUGAAGAAAACUGGAAAAGGAAGAGGUGUCCAGGGCAGCUGCUCCCUGACCCGCUGUCUGUGUCUGCCUCCCUGCCCUGUGCCUUCGAGGCGGCUGCUCCUGGAGGUGAGACCACAGUCUGUUCCACCGAGAAACCGGACCCUGCCCCUGUCUGAACAGCUCACAGCACCUUCCGGGAUGCACGGGGAGAUGCCCGGUGAUGACCCCACCCAGUCCUGGUCCUCCUGUGGCCCAGCAGUGCAGACACUCUGCGUGUCUUGAAAGACGGGGAGGAGGAGGCUGGUGGGGAAGAGUUGAGGGGUUGCAGGCCAGAGAGCUACCAGGCAGGUCAUGGUCCAGUGUGUGGUCCUGAGACCCUAAUAGCUCUCCCCCUUCCUCACAGGGUAAACUUCAGGCAAGUUACACAUUGUGCCAGCCUCCAUUCCUCACUGGUCAAAUGGAAAGGGUGAUUGUGUCUAUUUAGCAUAUAAUAAUUGUAAAUUUUGUUGUUGUUCUGUGGCUGAGUCGUGUCUGACUCUUUGCUCUCCCAUGGACUGUAGUCCACGAGGCUCCUCUGUCCAUGGGAUUCCCUGGACAAGAAUACAAGAGUGGCUUGCCACGCCCUUCUCCAGGGGAUCUUCCUGACCCAGGGAUCGAACCUGGAUCUCCUGCAUUGAAGGCAGAUUCUUUACUGUCUGAGCCACCAGGGGCUUGUUAAUUGUGUAUUUAGCAUGUAAUAAUUAUUAAACUGUUAGCGGAUACCAAGUGCUCAAUAAAGCUACGUGCUGUUGUCUGCA
Molecule: long non-coding RNA, 1644 nt
Organism: Bos indicus x Bos taurus (hybrid cattle)
Lineage: Eukaryota; Metazoa; Chordata; Mammalia; Artiodactyla; Bovidae
Source: Ensembl